This 499-nucleotide ribosomal RNA is filed under the name uncultured bacterium. RNAcentral describes it as "partial 16S ribosomal RNA". It matches the Rfam family "Bacterial small subunit ribosomal RNA", at positions 28 to 507 of the family's 1533-position model. The record is from RNAcentral.
GACGAACGCUGGCGGCGUGCCUAAUACAUGCAAGUCGAGCGAAGUUUUUCUGGUGCUUGCACUAGAAAAACUUAGCGGCGAACGGGUGAGUAACACGUAAAGAACCUGCCUCAUAGACUGGGACAACUAUUGGAAACGAUAGCUAAUACCGGAUAACAGUAUUUCUCGCAUGAGAGAUAUUUAAAAGUUGGUUAUGCUAACACUAUGAGAUGGCUUUGCGGUGCAUUAGCUAGUUGGUGGGGUAAAGGCCCACCAAGGCGACGAUGCAUAGCCGACUUGAGAGGGUGAUCGGCCACACUGGGACUGAGACACGGCCCAGACUCCUACGGGAGGCAGCAGUAGGGAAUCUUCCGCAAUGGGCGAAAGCCUGACGGAGCAACGCCGCGUGAGUGAAGAAGGAUUUCGGUUCGUAAAGCUCUGUUGUUAGGGAAGAAUGGAUAUGUAGUAACUAUACAUGUAAGAGACGGUACCUAACCAGAAAGCCACGGCUAACUACGUG